This is a non-coding RNA of Acanthosepion pharaonis, 114 nucleotides long. Lineage: Eukaryota; Metazoa; Mollusca; Cephalopoda; Sepiida; Sepiidae. The record is from the annotation of a GenBank genome assembly.
UUACGGUCAUAACACGCUGUAACAGCAGUUCCCGUGCUAUCACCGAGGUUAAGCAAUGUCAAGCCUGGUCAGUACCUAAAUGGGUGACCGCUUGAGAAUACCAUGUGCUGUAGG